AUUGGUCCCGGGCGGAAAUGGGAGGGGAGCGACCGAGGUGAUAUAAAGGGCGGCGCGGGGCGGGCCGCUGCGGGGUGGUGGCGGCGGGCAAGGUGGAGAGCAAACCAACUGCCUUACGACAGUCAUCUUCAGUUUGGUAGUGGUUUGUGACCCAAGAAAGGAUUUUCCCACUGACUGAGCUGAAGUAAGAGAGAGGAGCCUGUCCUGAAGCUUAUGGUAAGUGAAAAAACCUCCAGGUGAUCUCCGUGAAAAAGACAGCAGGUUUAGCAGCCAAGGAUGAUGAUGCAAUUAACUGAUACUGGGUAAAGAGGACUAGCAAAAUAGUUCCAGUUCUCUGCUCUGAAAUGAAAUGUCAUACUGCAAUAUGGCAACUGGGUAAAGGAUCACAUUCAAUGUCUAAUGACCUAUGUCUUGCUUGUCAAUAAAGUACUUGAGCAAGUAGUAGCUCUGCUUCCUUUGUUGAUUGCAGCUGCUGUGUAGUGCUCACAUUGUUGUAGUGAUAGCCCAACCUUUCAAAUUCCCAUCAUUCCUGUUUUUCUGCUUAGGAUUUUUCAGCCCCUUGUCCAAAUGACUUUUGUAAUGAUUUGGUUGUUUAGUUGGUGAAUUUUUGUGGCUGAUUUUAUCAAGUUUUUAGAUGCAUUUUUUAUAUUCUACACCAAGCUGCUGUUAGUAGCCCUUUGUGUAGCAAAGCCUCUAUAUUCUGGGCUGAAAAACUAUUAUAUUUAGCAGUACCUUCUUCUGCAGCACAGUUUUCACCUGGCUCACUAAUAAACCUCUGAAAGCCUACACUGUCAAAAACACUUACAGACUUUGAGUUCCAAGGAGGGAACAUGCCAGCUCUCAUUCUCAGAAGGGUCAAACUCAAAGUACAUCCAGACUUUCAUAGUCACCUUCAGUCACCCCUAUACAUAGGGUCUGAAUGCAUUUUCAACAUGAGAUUGUCACCUGCAGGAGGUACUGUUCCUGCCCAUGGCUCAGCAGAGGGGAAGGAAAAAAUGCUACCUGCAGUUUAACAGUUCUGUGAAUGAAAAAACUUACUUUUAAUGCACAUCUUGCAACCUGGUAGGACUCAAGGAGAGACUGGCACGGCUAAGAUUGCAAUUCCUCCAGCAACUCACAUCUUUCUCAUGAAGUCUUGUCUGAGGAAUACUGGGGCAUGUGUCAGCAGAGAAGCUGUGGUGUUGCACUUUAACAGGGGGGUAUGUCAUUUGUGCCUCAUAUGUCUGAAAAUGGAAAGGGGUUAGGGAACUGAGUAUUGCCAGUCACAAAGUUCAAAAAAACUGCUAGGGCUGAAAAUGCUGUUUUACAAAGAUGUGGGGUCAGGGAGUGCAAGUCUUUCUUCUAUUUUUUGUGUUCCGGUUGAUUUGGGCCAUCUUUUUAAAUUAUUUCAACAACCAUAAGGGCCAGAAACUUACUGUUUUGUAACAUCUUUUAUGUCUCUCUCUUUUUUUUUUUAGUUUGUAUUUUGAUUCUUGAAACUCUUCAUAAAGCUUGAAUUUCAUAUAGAAUAGCCCUAUUUCUUCUUUAAAUUUGAUGAUAUGCUCUCAUUUUCAUGUAUGUAUUAGCCAAGUGUAAUAUUUCUUUUAAAGCUUUUAAUAUUUUCAGGCUUCCUUCCAUUUAAAAUUAUAAUUCUCUGCUAUGUCAAUUAAAUACUACACCAAUUUUCUUGAAGUUGAGUAAUUUUUGCCUUCAGUUCUACCUCUGAAUUUCAUCAGCACCAGUUAGGGCUGUCCAUCAGCAGCACAUUACUUAAACCUGUACAAAAAAUAUCCAGCUUUUUAUCAUUAAUCUGGUAUUUCUAGAAUAUAUUUCUACAUUUCAAUUCUUCUCUUUUCACUACAAUUUGUUUUACUCAUCACUAAUGUGGUUGCAGCUCAACUCAGCUCAGUUUGCUUCGCUGGGACUACAUUCAAUCAGGAAAAAAAUUCAGGCUUGUCUCCAAUUUCUUUAUCUGGAGGAGAAAGAGCUGGUAUCAGCAUGUUCAUACCCUGAUUAACAGUUUUAAGAACAGACAAAGUAUAAACACUUGAAAUAAAUUAAUUUAUUUGCUAAGGAAAUUACCAAUCUCAUCUGCAUCUAUUUCUGAAACAGAAGAUUUGUUUGAAGUUCUUCCUUUUGGAUCUUAGCUUCCAGACAUUGUCUUCACAAAUCCCAGGUUGGAACAUCAUAAUCUCCCCUCAAGGUUCUGUUUACAUCUGAGGCUCCCCUGUAGACAGCAUUAGGUACAAAUACAUUAGAACUUAAACACUAAGUUGUUCUCUGACACUGAUGUGUGGACAUAGUAUUUAUCUUUAGAUGGAUAGAGAGGCCUGAAAUAUGUGACACUUAAUUCCUCUCUUUCACCUUGGUAAGGAUAAAAUAAAGGGUGCUAUUAAUUAUUUUCCUUAUUUCAUAAAUAUGAUCUGGUCUCCACAAGCAUGUAAAAAGAGCUUCAUCUAAAAUUUUUCUAGGUAGCACUGGUCAAUUAGAUUGGAAGCAGAAAUCAGUGUAAAUCAAAUCAUAAUUUAACCUGAUACAGUGACUAAAGUAAUUCAGAGGCAAGAACAAAUAAGGGUGCAGGCAGAGAAAAUGUCUAGAACAUUAUAGGCAAGAUACAGAAUUUGGAGGAGGUGCAUGUCAUGAAAGAUUGUUUCAACUUGGGCUUUGCAUAAAAGAAGAAAAGCUAGAAGAGAAAACUAAAAUCCUGACAGAAAUGCAAAAUUUUGAAGAGAAGGCAAAGAACAAUACAUUAACCAUAAAACAGAGAUAAAAUGUAUGGAAAUAAUUGAAGCAGCAGACUCAUGAUUCCUGAUGCAUCAAAAUAGAUACAGACUUAAGUCUGUAUUCCAACAGAAGCUAAAGCCAUGAUUAAAAUUUUGCCUGUGUUUAUGUGCUUAAUUAAUCCUAUAAGUAAUCAUAGUCUCCUCCUUCAGCUUUCACUGAGCCGUAGGAUUCACUGCACCCUGGGAAUUUAGAUUGCUCAAUACUUCGAAAUACUGCCUUUAUUUAAGUCUACCAAGCCCACAGUUACAAGAUACAAUUCGUCUUUAAUGUUUUUCUAACAGUUUUUACUUGAAGGAUCUUAGUAGUACUGGGCAUUGAUCCAAUAAACAUGAACUUGUUCAAAGGCAGAAGACAGUAUAUGAGAUCCUCCCUAAUAUUUUCCUUCUUUAUUUUACCCUGUUUAAAUAAGCAAAAAAUAGCUUAAUUUUUUCCCCAGCAUCCAUGAAUUGUUUCACAUAUACGAUGCAGUCAAACUGUAAAAGAAAAUUGCUCUUGGAAUUUAUGCUACCAUUUCCCCCUGAUAAUGACUUUAAAAAGUAAAAUUAACAGAUUUUCUUACCAAAAUAACCCAGAAAUAAAUGUUAAAUGUUUAUUCUCUUUUAAAAACAGAAACCACUUAGCAACCAAAUAACUCUGGAGUGUCAAAUAAAUGUGCUUUAUUUACAGUCAUGAGGCUUGUAUCUGAAGUGAAUUAAAAAUUUAUCUUAGGUCAGUACAUCAUGGUGGUUUUGUAAAUGUGUUUCUGAGGACAAGACUAACUACACCCAUUGAUGUGAAUAAUAUACAAUCAAUACCCAUUUUCCUUUCUAAAAUAAUGAAUUAAAAUCCAUCUGCAACUAGGACUUUGUUGUUAUUCUUAAAAAAGAAAAUCAGCAUAGUAGGCAAUUAAAACUGGAACAAAGAAAAAAAUGAAAACAAAGAGAGGAGGAGUAGAAGGAUUUUUACUGAAAGCUAUUACAAAAACCAGAAUUCCCAAAUGAGAUGAAAAAGA
This is a long non-coding RNA of Manacus vitellinus (golden-collared manakin), 3754 nucleotides long. RefSeq lists it as uncharacterized. The transcript has 4 exons. Lineage: Eukaryota; Metazoa; Chordata; Aves; Passeriformes; Pipridae. The record is from RefSeq and is a predicted model, not a curated record.